CCAGGUUGAUUCUGCCUGACGUAGACGCUAUUCCCUAAGAUUAACCCAUGCAUGUUUUUGACAUUUGAAAAAUGGACUGCUCAGUAAUACUCACUUUAUUUUAUGUACAUUUGAAAUUAACUACGUUAAAGUGUAGAUAAGAUGUGUACAGUAAGAGUGAGACCUAUCAGCUAGUUGUUAAGGUAAUGGCUUAACAAGGCAGUGACGGGUAACGGUAUUACUUUGUAAUAUUCCGGAGAAGGAGCCUGAGAGACGGCUACUAAGUCUAAGGAUUGCAGCAGGGGCGAAACUUGACCUAUGGAUUUUAUCUGAGGCAGUUAUGGGAAGUAAUAUUAUAUUGUUUCAUAUUUUAAAAGUAUAUGAGGUGAUUAAUUGGAGGGCAAAUCAAGUGCCAGCAGCCGCGGUAAUACUUGUUCCAAGAGUGUGUAUGAUGAUUGAUGCAGUUAAAAAGUCCGUAGUUUAUUUAUAAGAAGCAAUAUGAGGUGUACUGUAUAGUUGGGAGAGAGAUGAAAUGUGACGACCCUGACUGGACGAACA
Molecule: ribosomal RNA, 537 nt
Filed under: Nosema sp. A PSH-2011
Lineage: Eukaryota; Fungi; Microsporidia; Nosematidae
Description: SSU rRNA
Rfam family: Microsporidia small subunit ribosomal RNA
Source: RNAcentral